GGCGAGCCUGAUGCAGCAACGCCGCGUGAGGGAUGACGGCCUUCGGGUUGUAAACCUCUUUUAGUAGGGAAGAAGCGAAAGUGACGGUACCUGCAGAAAAAGCACCGGCUAACUACGUGCCAGCAGCCGCGGUAAUACGUAGGGUGCAAGCGUUGUCCGGAAUUAUUGGGCGUAAAGAGCUCGUAGGCGGUUUGUCGCGUCUGCUGUGAAAUCCCGAGGCUCAACCUCGGGCUUGCAGUGGGUACGGGCAGACUAGAGUGCGGUAGGGGAGAUUGGAAUUCCUGGUGUAGCGGUGGAAUGCGCAGAUAUCAGGAGGAACACCGAUGGCGAAGGCAGAUCUCUGGGCCGUAACUGACGCUGAGGAGCGAAAGCGUGGGGAGCGAACAGGAUUAGAUACCGUGUAGUCCA
RNAcentral lists this ribosomal RNA (408 nucleotides) under uncultured Microbacteriaceae bacterium. RNAcentral's name for it is "bacterial SSU rRNA". It matches the Rfam family "Bacterial small subunit ribosomal RNA", at positions 374 to 797 of the family's 1533-position model. Lineage: Bacteria; Bacillati; Actinomycetota; Actinomycetes; Micrococcales; Microbacteriaceae. The record is from RNAcentral.